CAGUAACAACAGCUACUAUCUGAUCUCUGCCGCCAGACAGACUUCCUGGCCAGCAUCACUAAACGGAGCAUCCAGAAGGAAGGGGCCUUUUCUCUUUACCGAUAUUUUUGCCGCAGACCUGAGGGGCUUGCCUUAUCCCUGAGGAACAAGUGCCUGCCAGGCUAGGGCAGCCACCCACAGGAGCCUAAGUAAAACUAGCUAGCUGGCUCCCCACUUGCUUCUGCAAGGGUGGCAUCCCACUGUCCUGUGAAGGUCAAUCCAGAUUACCCCAGCUGCUGCUGCUCAUCUUCUUGAGCAUGCACCAGAAAUAAACAUUCCACAAACAAUCUGCAGCUGGGACCAGAGGCCAAGCGGUGGCGGCGGCAGUGGCUGGAGGUAUGGGUGAGCAGGAUGUUACAGUUGCUGUCUCAGGAACAAAUGCUUCUAAGUUUCCUCUUGGCGUGGAGUUCUGCGUUGGCACAGAUCCUUUCUCCUCUGAGUGCAUGGAAACAGUCUGCCACCUUCUGAUUCUUGUUAUUUCUGUUGAGAAGUCCACUGUCGCCGGGCGUGGUGGCGCAUGCCUUUAAUCCCAGCACUUGGGAGGCAGAGGCAGGUGGAUUUCUGAGUUCGAGGCCAGCCUGGUCUACAGAGUGAGUUCCAGGACAGCCAGGGCUACACAGAGAAACCCUGUCUCAAAAAACAAACAAACAAACAAGAGAAGUCCACUGUCAUUUAACACCUCCCCUUGCUCCUUUAAAAAUGAAACAUCCUUUUUCUUCUCUA
This is a long non-coding RNA of Mus musculus (house mouse), 762 nucleotides long. RefSeq annotates it as predicted gene, 53533. The record is from RefSeq and is a predicted model, not a curated record. The transcript has 2 exons. Lineage: Eukaryota; Metazoa; Chordata; Mammalia; Rodentia; Muridae.